AGACAUUGCACCACAUCGUUCUCUAGUUUUGCUAGCUUGGAUGAAUCGAUUGCCUUCUGCGAAAUCGCAUUGACAAAUGCGCAUAACUUUACGAGUGGCAACCGGACAUUCUCUGGUAGAACACCCCUCAGUGCAACCAGAAACAACUGGGUUAUCAACAUGUGGCAGUCAUGGGCCUUGAGAUUUGUAAACUUCUUUUAUUUCAUAUUUAUUAUUUCCUUUAUAUUCGAGUAGUACCCAGACGAAACCA
This 250-nucleotide long non-coding RNA is filed under the name Setaria italica (foxtail millet). Its description in RNAcentral is "long non-coding RNA (SITA_LNC005714)". Lineage: Eukaryota; Viridiplantae; Streptophyta; Magnoliopsida; Poales; Poaceae. The record is from RNAcentral.